RNAcentral lists this ribosomal RNA (99 nucleotides) under Sorex araneus (European shrew). The record is from RNAcentral. Lineage: Eukaryota; Metazoa; Chordata; Mammalia; Eulipotyphla; Soricidae.
GCAACUCCCUUCCCCAUACCACCCUGAAUGCGCCCGAUCUCGUCUGAUCUCGGAAGCUAAGCAGGGUCAGGCCUGGUUAGUACUUGGAUGGGAGUUGCC